RNAcentral lists this long non-coding RNA (278 nucleotides) under Elaeis guineensis (African oil palm). Its description in RNAcentral is "long non-coding RNA (EGUI_LNC054401)". Lineage: Eukaryota; Viridiplantae; Streptophyta; Magnoliopsida; Arecales; Arecaceae. The record is from RNAcentral.
CUCUGGCCGACCUACACUCGUCGCGUGUCUCACUCACUAUGACAGGCUACUGAAAAUGGCUGAUAGCUGAUAAAAUCAUUAUUGCACCGUACCUAGAGCCAUGCUCUAGCGAGAAUUCCAAAAAAAUCUUUUUGGAUCGCCUUGAUUUGAAAAGACUCCAGCACCAGCGCACCAAACGCCAAAAUAUCUGAAAACCACUGAGCGCGGAAACUAAGGGAGGCAACUUCGACUGUGAGAAUUUUUCUGUACUUCCUUCAUUCGGAACUCGAACUCGGAAG